UGGACGCGUAGCUCAACUGGCAGAGCAUUCGACUCUUAAUCGACAGGUUGUAGGUUCGAUUCCUACCGCGUCCACCAU
Molecule: transfer RNA, 78 nt
Filed under: Acidobacterium capsulatum ATCC 51196
Lineage: Bacteria; Pseudomonadati; Acidobacteriota; Terriglobia; Terriglobales; Acidobacteriaceae
Description: tRNA-Lys
Rfam family: tRNA
About the family: Transfer RNA (tRNA) molecules are approximately 80 nucleotides in length.
Source: RNAcentral